Molecule: ribosomal RNA, 497 nt
Filed under: uncultured bacterium
Lineage: Bacteria
Description: partial 16S ribosomal RNA
Rfam family: Bacterial small subunit ribosomal RNA
Source: RNAcentral
GAUGAACGCUGGCGGCGUGCCUAAUACAUGCAAGUCGAGCGAACAGACGAGGAGCUUGCUCCUCUGACGUUAGCGGCGGACGGGUGAGUAACACGUGGAUAACCUACCUAUAAGACUGGGAUAACUUCGGGAAACCGGAGCUAAUACCGGAUAAUAUAUUGAACCGCAUGGUUCAAUAGUGAAAGACGGUUUUGCUGUCACUUAUAGAUGGAUCCGCGCCGCAUUAGCUAGUUGGUAAGGUAACAGCUUACCAAGGCAACGAUGCAUAGCCGACCUGAGAGGGUGAUCGGCCACACUGGAACUGAGACACGGUCCAGACUCCUACGGGAGGCAGCAGUAGGGAAUCUUCCGCAAUGGGCGAAAGCCUGACGGAGCAACGCCGCGUGAGUGAUGAAGGUCUUCGGAUCGUAAAACUCUGUUAUUAGGGAAGAACAAAUGUGUAAGUAACUGUGCACGUCUUGACGGUACCUAAUCAGAAAGCCACGGCUAACUACGUG